UUUGUAUUACGUGCGGAAAUUGUUACCAUUUUCGGCUCAAAAAUGGUAAGAAUUUCCACACGUAAUACAAA
Molecule: microRNA precursor, 71 nt
Filed under: Paramuricea clavata
Lineage: Eukaryota; Metazoa; Cnidaria; Anthozoa; Malacalcyonacea; Plexauridae
Source: RNAcentral